AGUGAACGCUGGCGGUAGGCCUAACACAUGCGAGUCGAACGGCAGCACAGUAAGAGCUUGCUCUUACGGGUGGCGAGUGGCGGACGGGUGAGGAAUACAUCGGAAUCUACUUUUUCGUGGGGGAUAACGUAGGGAAACUUACGCUAAUACCGCAUACGACCUACGGGUGAAAGCAGGGGAUCUUCGUACCUUGCGCGAUUGAAUGAGCCGAUGUCGGAUUAGCUAGUUGGCGGGGUAAAGGCCCACCAAGGCGACGAUCCGUAGCUGGUCUGAGAGGAUGAUCAGCCACACUGGAACUGAGACACGGUCCAGACUCCUACGGGAGGCAGCAGUGGGGAAUAUUGGACAAUGGGCGCAAGCCUGAUCCAGCCAUACCGCGUGGGUGAAGAAGGCCUUCGGGUUGUAAAGCCCUUUUGUUGGGAAAGAAAAGCAGCAGGUUAAUACCCCGCUGUUCUGACGGUACCCAAAGAAUAAGCACCGGCUAACUUCGUG
RNAcentral lists this ribosomal RNA (492 nucleotides) under uncultured bacterium. RNAcentral describes it as "partial 16S ribosomal RNA". It matches the Rfam family "Bacterial small subunit ribosomal RNA", at positions 29 to 507 of the family's 1533-position model. The record is from RNAcentral.